This is a long non-coding RNA of Puntigrus tetrazona (Sumatra barb), 317 nucleotides long. RefSeq lists it as uncharacterized. The transcript is spliced from 3 exons. The record is from RefSeq and is a predicted model, not a curated record. NCBI's taxonomy places the organism in Eukaryota, Metazoa, Chordata, Actinopteri, Cypriniformes, Cyprinidae.
GCAGAGUUCAGUCAAAUAUCAGGCAAAAACCUGCAAACCGAAUUCUUUCAGGAACCGGACAGAUUCACAGACCGUUUCAUUGAUAUUUUCACGUCCAAAGAGGAGCAAUUGGCUGUAAACUGAAGAACAUUCUACAGCAGAUUGAUAAAUCUGACAUCAAUGGCGACGAAUCCACCGAGUUUUACAAGACAUGUUUUGACUGUGAUGACGAAAGAGAGAUGUCUGGCAUUUCGGUUGGCAUACUCACGGUGAUCCCUGAGGACUCACUCAAUGCAUCUAAACGCCACAUGCGGUCAUUUUGGAAGGAUGAUUGCGUU